GCUCUUGUAGCUCAGUUGGUUAGAGGGUACACUUAGUUAGCGAAUGUCUUGAGUUCAACUCUCAAUAAGAGCA
This 73-nucleotide transfer RNA is filed under the name Nicotiana sylvestris (wood tobacco). It matches the Rfam family "tRNA". From Rfam's summary of the family: Transfer RNA (tRNA) molecules are approximately 80 nucleotides in length. Their secondary structure includes four short double-helical elements and three loops (D, anti-codon, and T loops). Further hydrogen bonds mediate the characteristic L-shaped molecular structure. tRNAs have two regions of fundamental functional importance: the anti-codon, which is responsible for specific mRNA codon recognition, and the 3' end, to which the tRNAs corresponding amino acid is attached (by aminoacyl-tRNA synthetases). tRNAs cope with the degeneracy of the genetic code in two manners: having more than one tRNA (with a specific anti-codon) for a particular amino acid; and 'wobble' base-pairing, i.e. permitting non-standard base-pairing at the 3rd anti-codon position. Lineage: Eukaryota; Viridiplantae; Streptophyta; Magnoliopsida; Solanales; Solanaceae. RNAcentral also lists the same sequence under 1 other name. The record is from Rfam by way of RNAcentral.